Molecule: ribosomal RNA, 292 nt
Filed under: uncultured bacterium
Lineage: Bacteria
Description: partial 16S ribosomal RNA
Rfam family: Bacterial small subunit ribosomal RNA
Source: RNAcentral
GUGCCAGCAGCCGCGGUAAUACGGAGGGUGCGAGCGUUGUCCGGAAUCACUGGGCGUAAAGGGCGCGUAGGCGGUCUGCUAAGCGUGCGGUGAAAGCCUGGGGCUCAACCCCAGGUCUGCCGUGCGAACUGGUGGACUCGAGCACUGUAGAGGCAGGUGGAAUUUCGGGUGUAGCGGUGGAAUGCGUAGAGAUCCGAAAGAACACCGGUGGCGAAGGCGGCCUGCUGGGCAGUAGCUGACGCUGAGGCGCGACAGCGGGGGGAGCAAACAGGAUUAGAAACCCGGGUAGUCC